This 530-nucleotide ribosomal RNA is filed under the name Mogulones grisescens. RNAcentral's name for it is "partial 16S ribosomal RNA". It matches the Rfam family "Bacterial large subunit ribosomal RNA", at positions 1809 to 2611 of the family's 2925-position model. The record is from RNAcentral. Lineage: Eukaryota; Metazoa; Arthropoda; Insecta; Coleoptera; Curculionidae.
AAAAACAUGGCCUUUUGAUUUAAAUUUAAGGUUUAGCCUGCUCAAUGAAUUUUAAAUAGCCGCAGUAUUUUAACUGUGCAAAGGUAGCAUAAUCAUUAGUUUCUUAAUUAGAAGCUGGAAUGAAAGGUUGAAUGAGAAAAUAGCUGUCUCUAUAAUAAUUUUAUAGAAUUUUAUUUUUAAGUUAAAAAGCUUAGAUAUAAAUAAAAGACGAGAAGACCCUAUAGAGUUUUAUAUUUAUAGAUGAUAUUUCUUUUAGUAUUUUAAAAUUUAUUUUUUUAUAGUAUUUGGUUGGGGUGAUUAGAAAAUUAAGUAAACUUUUCUUGUUAAAAAAACAUUUAUUUAUGAAAAAAUGAUCCUUUUUUUGAGAUUAUAAGAUUAAAUUACCUUAGGGAUAACAGCGUAAUUUUUUUUGAGAGUUCUUAUCGAAAAAAGAGAUUGCGACCUCGAUGUUGGAUUAAAAUAAAUUUUUGGUGUAGAAGCUAAAUUUAAUUAGGUCUGUUCGACCUUUAAAAUUUUACUUGAUCUGAGUU